This 78-nucleotide transfer RNA is filed under the name Methylomirabilis sp. (SeqCode). RNAcentral describes it as "tRNA-Glu". It matches the Rfam family "tRNA". From Rfam's summary of the family: Transfer RNA (tRNA) molecules are approximately 80 nucleotides in length. Their secondary structure includes four short double-helical elements and three loops (D, anti-codon, and T loops). Further hydrogen bonds mediate the characteristic L-shaped molecular structure. tRNAs have two regions of fundamental functional importance: the anti-codon, which is responsible for specific mRNA codon recognition, and the 3' end, to which the tRNAs corresponding amino acid is attached (by aminoacyl-tRNA synthetases). tRNAs cope with the degeneracy of the genetic code in two manners: having more than one tRNA (with a specific anti-codon) for a particular amino acid; and 'wobble' base-pairing, i.e. permitting non-standard base-pairing at the 3rd anti-codon position. The record is from RNAcentral. RNAcentral also lists the same sequence under 4 other names. Lineage: Bacteria; Methylomirabilota (SeqCode); Methylomirabilia (SeqCode); Methylomirabilales (SeqCode); Methylomirabilaceae (SeqCode).
GACCCCAUCGUCUAGCCUGGCCUAGGACACCGCUCUUUCAAGGCGGCAACGCGGGUUCGAAUCCCGCUGGGGUCACCA